This 497-nucleotide ribosomal RNA is filed under the name uncultured bacterium. Its description in RNAcentral is "partial 16S ribosomal RNA". It matches the Rfam family "Bacterial small subunit ribosomal RNA", at positions 28 to 507 of the family's 1533-position model. The record is from RNAcentral.
GAUGAACGCUGGCGGCGUGCCUAAUACAUGCAAGUCGAGCGAACGGACGAGAAGCUUGCUUCUCUGAUGUUAGCGGCGGACGGGUGAGUAACACGUGGAUAACCUACCUAUAAGACUGGGAUAAAUUCGUGAAACCGGAGCUAAUACCGGAUAAUAUUUUGAACCGCAUGGUUCAAAAGUGCAAGACGGUCUUGCUGUCACUUAUAGAUGGAUCCGCGCUGCAUUAGCUAGUUGGUAAGGUAACGGCUUACCAAGGCAACGAUGCAUAGCCGACCUGAGAGGGUGAUCCGCUCUAGUGGAAGUGCGACGCGCAGGAGAUUCCUAAGGGAGCCAGCGGUACAGAAAUAGGAGCCAUGGGCGAAGGAGGAAGGGAGCAACACGGCGUGGGUGCUGAUGGUCUGCCGAUCCUAAAAGGCUGCUAUUGGGGAAGAACAUCUGUCCAAGUAACUGUGCACAUCUCGACGGUACCUAAUCAGAAGGCAACGGCCAACUACGUG